RNAcentral lists this long non-coding RNA (1436 nucleotides) under Citrus maxima (pomelo). RNAcentral's name for it is "long non-coding RNA (CMAX_LNC001957)". Lineage: Eukaryota; Viridiplantae; Streptophyta; Magnoliopsida; Sapindales; Rutaceae. The record is from RNAcentral.
AACGUUGCGGAAGAUGGCACUAUAAUCAGAAAUCUUGUUGAUCCGACCGGACAGUUGAUGCCGUUUGUGACCUCAGGUUUGCAGGUUGAUGAUCAUCUCUACAUGGUUAGCGUCACCUCUAACUUCAUAGGGAAAGUGCAACUGAGUUAAGCUGCAUAACUUGUGUCGAGAGAAAAUGGUUUCCUCAGGGAAAACUCUGUUCCCGAAUGAUUAAAUCAGUAUUAAGGUGUGUUUAUGUUCUUAUAACCCUGUUGAAUGGGUGUAGUGACUAAUCUUGAUAAUAGCGGAGGAUUGCCCUUAAUAAUAAAUAGUGAACUCAAUCAUGGGUAUUUUAGUAACAUAAAAUUUCAUAUAAAUAUGAUUGUGUGUUCAUCCUACUCAUUAGGGUUUCAAAUAGACUCGCUAAAUACUAUUAAUCUUGGAAUAUUACAUAUAAGCAUAACUGGGUUAAUUUUUGCAAUGGGGCGUUGGUUGAUGUUAGGACUUAGGAAUGAGGAUGGAUCAUCUGAAUUUUAAGGGCGGAUCUAGAACCAAUCAUUAUUUACCUGGGUUUUUUUUUUUUUCCAGAAAAAGUGAUAUCGUGCGGUCAAAAGUGAAUAUGAAAUUUCAUUUUAGGCAAAAAAAUAAAAUAUAUAUCUAAUAAGGGGACAUCAGUACUCUUAUCCUUAAAACUAUUUACACUAAGCAAAACGAUUAGAUACGGAAGGUAGAAAAAUAAAAGGACAAUCUAAAUACGUUGAAUCACCAGCCAAAUGCCAAAUGGAGACGAAUUGAAGAAAUUAGAUUAAGAAUCAAAGCCAUUAAGGAGUAGGAACUAGGAAAGGUGAAAGGGUAGGAAACCAGAAAGAUUAUCCCAUGCGGCUAAAUGGCUAAUGAUACUUCUCUCCUCAACCGCUUCCUCUGUUUGCUGCCUUUCUUCGUUAUGGGUUAUUCCCCCGCCUCACUCACGAAUCGUCCCUAUUUGAAUCAAUUAUUUAAUAAAUUUGAAUCAAUUAUUUAAUUACUUAAAUAAAUUAGAUAACUGAAAGUUCUUCAUUUUUUUUAAAUUUUAAAAAAUAUUAUAAGUAACAAAAAAAACAACAAUUAAUUAAUUGUGCCAAUUAUAUAUAUACUAUAUCUGCUACAAAUUUACUGUCCAAGAGGCUAAGAAAUUUAAUUGUGUCAAUUAUAUAUAUUUCAAUCCCUAAUUAUCUAUCCAAAAUAAAUCCUAAACAAGUAUGACAAAUAAAAAAAAAAUGAUAAUAAGAUGAGUAAUUUUAAUAAGUUAAUAAUAAAGUACCAGUUUUACCUGGAAGAAUCACUGGAAAAAAUUAAACUCGUGAAAAGGAUGAAACUGGCUGGAAGAUUGUUCUCUUGAUCGUGGAAUGAAGAUGAAAAGGGAGGGUCAAAAGUCAAAACACAUAAUUGGGGAAUGCGGCAGUUUUGUAAUUGCGCUG